This 496-nucleotide ribosomal RNA is filed under the name uncultured bacterium. Its description in RNAcentral is "partial 16S ribosomal RNA". It matches the Rfam family "Bacterial small subunit ribosomal RNA", at positions 28 to 506 of the family's 1533-position model. The record is from RNAcentral.
GAUGAACGCUGGCGGCGUGCCUAAUACAUGCAAGUCGAGCGAACGGACGAGAAGCUUUCUUUUCUGAUGUUAGCGGCGGACGGGUGAGUAACACGUGGAUAACCUACCUAUAAGACUGGGAUAACUUCGGGAAACCUGAGCUAAAACCGGCUAAUAUUUUGAACCGCAGGGUUCAAAAUAGAAAUACGGUCUUGCUGUGACUUACAGAUUGUUCCGCGCUUCAUUAGCUAGUUGGUAAGGUAACGGCUUACCAAGGCAACGAUGGAUAGCCGACCUGUAAGGGGGCUAGGCCGCGUUGGAGCUGAGACACGACCCAGACACCUACGGGAGGCAGCAGUAGGGAACCUUCCGCAAUGGGCGAGAGCCUGACGGAGCAACGCCGCGUGAGUGCUGAAGGUCUCGGGUUCGUAAAGCUGUGUUAUUAGGGAAAAACAGAUGUGUAAGUAACAGUGCGCAUCUUGACGGUCCCUAAGCAGAAAGCCACGCCUACCUACUU